This 1545-nucleotide ribosomal RNA is filed under the name metagenome. Its description in RNAcentral is "bacterial SSU rRNA". It matches the Rfam family "Bacterial small subunit ribosomal RNA". The record is from RNAcentral.
AGAGUUUGAUUCUGGCUCAGAACGAACGCUGGCAGCGUGGAUUAGGCAUGCAAGUCGAACGGGAAGCCGUUGAUCAGUUCUUCGGAAGAGUGAUUCGGUGGAGAGUGGCGGAAGGGUGAGUAACGCGUGGGCAAUCUACCUCCAAGUUGGGGAUAAUUCCGCGAAAGCGGGACUAAUACCGAAUGUGGUCGUAUGUCGCAUGGCAGACUGACUAAAGGUGGGGAUCCUUCGGGACCUGCCGCUGGGAGAGGAGCCCGCGUGCCAUCAGCUUGUUGGUGAGGUAACGGCCCACCAAGGCUUACGGCUAGCUGGUCUGAGAGGAUGAUCAGCCACACUGGGACUGAGACACUGCCCAGACUCCUACGGGAGGCUGCAGUCGAGGAUCAUUGUCAAUGCGCGGAAGCGUGAACAUGCGACGCUGCGUGGAGGAUGACGGCUUUCGGGUUGUAAACUCCUGUCAUGAGGGAAAAACGAUCCUGCAAUCAAUAUCUGCGGGAAGUGAUGGUACCUCAAGAGGAAGCCACGGCUAACUCUGUGCCAGCAGCCGCGGUAAUACAGAGGUGGCGAGCGUUGUUCGGAUUUACUGGGCGUAAAGGGUGCGUAGGCGGCUUCGUGUGUCGGAUGUGAAAUCCCACGGCCCAACCGUGGAACUGUGUUCGAAACUGCGGAGAUAGAGUGCAGGAGAGGAGAGUGGAAUUCUUGGUGUAGCGGUGAAAUGCGUUGAUAUCAAGAAGAACACCGGUGGCGAAAGCGGCUCUCUGGAAUGUUACUGACGCUGAGGCACGAAAGCUGGGGGAGCGAACAGGAUUAGAUACCCUGGUAGUCCCAGCUGUAAACGGUGUGCACUUGGUGUGGGAGGUAUCGACCCCUUCCGUGCCGGAGCUAACGCGUUAAGUGCACCGCCUGGGGAGUACGGCCGCAAGGCUAAAACUCAAAGAAAUUGACGGGGGCCCGCACAAGCGGAGGAGCAUGUGGCUUAAUUCGAUGCAACGCGAAGAACCUUACCAGGGCUUGACAUCUACCUGCAUGCCCCCUGAAAGGGGGGAGGCCUUCGAGGGUGGUAGACAGGUGCUGCAUGGCUGUCGUCAGUUCGUGCCGUGAGGUGUUGGGUUAAGUCCCGCAACGAACGCAACCCUUGUGGUUAGUUGCAACUGCAGGUGAUAAGCCUGCGGGCACUCUAGCCAGACUGCCUGUACAAGCAGGAGGAAGGUGGGGAUGACGUCAAGUCAGUAUGGCCCUUACGCCCUGGGCUGCACACGUGCUACAAUGGUCGGUACAGAAGGAUGCAAUACCGCGAGGUGGAGCUAAUCCCCAAAACCGGCCCCAGUUCGGAUUGGAGUCUGAAACUCGACUCCAUGAAGCCGGAUUCGCUAGUAACGGCGUACCAGCUACGGCGCCGUGAAUACGUUCCCGGGCCUUGUACACACCGCCCGUCACAUCAUGAAAGCUGUCUGCACCCGAAGUCGCUGAGCCAAUCCCGCCCUCGGGCGGAAAGGCAGGCGCCGAAGGUGUGGGUGGUGAUUGGGAUGAAGUCGUUACAAGGUA